Molecule: long non-coding RNA, 639 nt
Organism: Hipposideros armiger (great roundleaf bat)
Lineage: Eukaryota; Metazoa; Chordata; Mammalia; Chiroptera; Hipposideridae
Exons: 3
Source: RefSeq, a predicted model, not a curated record
CUCAGCUUCUUACAAACAGAGAAACCCUGGGGCUCUAACCCAAUAUCUGUUUGCCUGGGACUCUAACUCAGCUCCUGGAGUAUAGUCAGAAUCUUAGGAAUCAAAGUCUGCCUGUACCAGCUUCAACAGUCUGUGGAGCGUUGGUUCAGGAGUCAGGUUCUCCAAUGGAUCCCGGAUCAAUCAGUCAGGGGUGAAGACAAAGACUUCAAAGGUGUGCUCUGGGGUCCUGGGUGAGCUUUCCAGUGACACGUGAGACGAGUUCAUGAAUAGACAGAAAAGAAGAAGGACAAGCGCUGCCCAGGCCUUCCAAUGUGGGUUCUGCCUGAGGAGUCCUGUGGUAUUGAAAUAGAAUUUACGAUCGAGACUUGUCCAGAGCAAGACAUUUGCUUGGGGAACUUCUGGUCAGAAUGAUGUUUAGGAAACUGGGGGAAUUUGGACAAAGAAACAGACAUGCACACAAGGAAAACUCCAUGUGAAGAAGAAGGCAGAGAUCAGGGUGAUGCAUCUACAAACUUAGGAAGGCCAAGGAUUACCAACAAACCACCAAAAGCUGGAAGAAAGCUAUGGAACAAACUCUUCCUCAGAAGGAACCAGCCCUGCUGACAUCCUGAUCUCAGACUUCUGGCCUCCAGAUCUGCA